This 343-nucleotide unclassified non-coding RNA is filed under the name soil metagenome. RNAcentral's name for it is "partial contains 5.8S ribosomal RNA, internal transcribed spacer 2, and large subunit ribosomal RNA". The stretch from base 1 to 120 matches the Rfam family "5.8S ribosomal RNA", at positions 35 to 154 of the family's 154-position model. The record is from RNAcentral.
GAUGAAGAACGUAGCGAAAUGCGAUAAGUAAUGUGAAUUGCAGAAUUCAGUGAAUCAUCGAAUCUUUGAACGCACAUUGCGCCCGCUUGUAUUCUGGCGGGCAUGCCUGUCCGAGCGUCAUUUCAACCCUCAAGCCCCCGGGCUUGGUGUUGGGGAUCGGCGAGCCUCCGCGCCCGCCGUCCCCUAAAUCUAGUGGCGGUCUCGCUGUAGCUUCCUCUGCGUAGUAGCACACCUCGCACUGGGAAACAGCGCGGCCACGCCGUUAAACCCCCAACUUCUGAUCGUUUGACCUCGGAUCAGGUAGGAAUACCCGCUGAACUUAAGCAUAUCAAUAAGCGGAGGA